UGCGUAGGCGGUUCCGCAAGUCCGCUGUGAAAUCCCCGGGCUCAACCUGGGAAUGGCAGUGGAAACUAGGGGACUUGAAUCUGGCAGGAGGGGGGUGGAAUGCCACGUGUAGCAGUGAAAUGCGUAGAGAUGUGGCGGAACACCGAUGGCGAAGGCAGCCCCCUGGGCUGAGAUUGACGCUCAGGCACGAAAGCGUGGGGAGCAAACAGGAUUAGAUACCCUGGUAGUCCACGCCCUAAACGAUGAUCACUAGGUGUUGGGGAAGCGAUUUCUCAGUACCGCAGCUAACGCGUGAAGUGAUCCGCCUGGGGAGUACGGUCGCAAGAUUAAA
RNAcentral lists this ribosomal RNA (331 nucleotides) under uncultured bacterium. Its description in RNAcentral is "bacterial SSU rRNA". It matches the Rfam family "Bacterial small subunit ribosomal RNA", at positions 568 to 898 of the family's 1533-position model. The record is from RNAcentral.